GCUGAAAUCUUAGAAUCAACCCCACGGAAUGAAGAGGUUGUCGUAAUUCCAGCACUGAGUGUAAGAAUGGAAGCCUUACAUGUGAUUUUAUUCAAGUCCCCAUUUUAGAAAUGGAAAAACUCAGGCCCGAAGGCGAACGGCGAAUGCAGCAUCGGGACUCGAACCCAAGUCUGUCCCCGAGUGCGGGGCUAUUCCAGGCUCGGUGGUCUUGACCUCCACGGCCCUCCUCCUUGUUGCCUGCAGAAAAACGCCGCGGCCACGAUGCCGGCGUAUGUGGAGGGGGAUGUCUACCUGGUGGUGGAGCACCCCUUCGAGUAUACCCGCAAGGACUGGCGCCGCGUGGCCAUCUGGCCCAAUGAGCGCUACUGGCUGCUGCGGCGCAGCACGGAGCACUGGUGGCACGUGCGGCGCGAGCCUGGCGGCCACCCCUUCUACCUGCCCGCGCAGUACGUGCGCGAGCUGCCUGCGCUGGGCAAAUGACCUCCCCGCGAACGGGAACGCCCGGACGAGACAACCUGCCACUGCCGCGCCGCCAGGUCCCCCCAACAGUCCCCUCGGCCCCCGAGCCGCUCACCUACGACUACCGGCUUGUGAGCGCGGCGGCGGCAGCGGGCCCCGACAGCACCCCCGCGGAGCCCCGAGGCCGCGCCAGCUCCCUGUGCGGCCCUUCGCAACGCGGCGCCGCGACCCAGCGCAGCAGCCUGGCGCCCGGCCUGCCCGCCUGCCUGUACUUGCGGCCUGCGCAGUCCCUGGACUACCUGGCGCGCGCCGCCGUCUCGCCUCCCGCCGGCCACCUCGGAAGGAGCGGCAGCUUCAAGGCUGCAGUGUGGCGGGUUCCUGGAUGUGCCCGCGGCCCCUGGCGCGCAGCGACUCAGAGACCGUCUACGAGGCCAUCCAGGAUGUGCACGGCCCGCCGCGGGAGGAGAGCGGGGAACAGGGGUGGCGCGCUGGGGACCGCGCCCGCACGGAGCCGGGGCGCGAGGAGACCUGCUCCGCUCAGCGUCGGGCACGAUGCCCACCUCUGUCUGAAGACUUGGAAUGAGCUCCCUCUCCCCAACCGCGAAACGGGAGCGGUGCAAGCCCCUAGUCCCUCAUCUGCGAUUCCCAAGCUCCAAAGCUGCCUGGAAGCCCAGAAGUUUUUCGUAAUCCAAUUGGUGGCAAAAUUGCGCUUGAACUGAUGUGAGGCUGUUGAUGGUCUUUAUUUGUCAAACUUGUGUGAAUAUUCAUGUUUUGCUGCAGAAAUGCAAAUGAGCUCGAUGACCGGCUGCUGCCCCAAGCCCUGCUGGGAGGUUAUGUGACCUACAGCAGGUGUGUGCCCCAUAGUCUCUUUCCAAGUCCCAGCUGUUCUGUAUUCCGAAGCGCAUCUGGGCACGGAACGGGGGAUUGCGGGCUUGCCGCCGGCUCAACAGCCUUGCCAGUCUCCCAGGAGCCUGGGGUCAGAUGAGAGGGUGGAUGUGAAACUCAGGCGUCUGCUUCCCUUUGAGGGUGCUUCCAACAUUUCAGAUGGGUUUGUUUGGGUGCUUCCAACAUUGAUGGGUUUGUUUCAGAAAGGCGUCCGGUUAUGGUGAGGUUGUUUUUUUUCUCUCUUCAGAAUCCGGUUGUGUUAAUCAGGGAAAUCGAAAAUAAAGCACGUUUUAAAAACA
RNAcentral lists this long non-coding RNA (1643 nucleotides) under Homo sapiens (human). RNAcentral's name for it is "non-protein coding lnc-AMZ2-7:1". Lineage: Eukaryota; Metazoa; Chordata; Mammalia; Primates; Hominidae. The record is from RNAcentral.